This is a non-coding RNA of Salmo salar (Atlantic salmon), 60 nucleotides long. The record is from Rfam. NCBI's taxonomy places the organism in Eukaryota, Metazoa, Chordata, Actinopteri, Salmoniformes, Salmonidae.
UGGCUUAAUGUUGGUAGAGCAUGGUGUUUGCAACGCCAGGGUUGUGGGUUUGAUUCCCAC